GAUGAAGAACGUAGCGAAAUGCGAUAAGUUAUGUGAAUUGCAGAAUUCAGUGAAUCAUCGAAUCUUUGAACGCACAUUGCGCCCGCCAGCAUUCUGGCGGGCAUGCCUGUUCGAGCGUCAUUUCAACCCUCGAGCCCCCCCGGGGGCCUCGGUGUUGGGGGACGGCACACCAGCCGCCCCCGAAAUGCAGUGGCGACCCCGCCGCAGCCUCCCCUGCGUAGUAGCACACACCUCGCACCGGAGCGCGGAGGCGGUCACGCCGUAAAACGCCCAACUUUCUUAGAGUUGACCUCGGAUCAGGUAGGAAUACCCGCUGAACUUAAGCAUAUCAAUAAGCGGAGGA
Molecule: unclassified non-coding RNA, 343 nt
Filed under: soil metagenome
Description: partial contains 5.8S ribosomal RNA, internal transcribed spacer 2, and large subunit ribosomal RNA
Rfam family: 5.8S ribosomal RNA (bases 1-120)
Source: RNAcentral